CAUUUUUCAAUACAAUUAAGUUUUAUUAAAUACACUUUGCAAAGAUUAUACAGUAAUUAGUAUUGGAGAAGUUGGAAAGUUGAUCUCUUUUUUCUGAAAACCUAUUAGUAAUAUGAGUAAAAAAAAAAAUCAACGCAUACAAUACUUAGGUGUAAAAUAGCACAUAUUAAAAACAGAACAUUUUAAUGUUUAUAAGGCAAAUAUAAAAAUAUCACACUAUAACUUCAUUGUCAACCAUGUGUACAUUAUGAGUCUGAAAGUAUGAAUCUGAUUUUUUUUUUUGUCAGUUCAUUAAUCAGAAAUCAGUUGAACGACAAGACGUUUUUCUCAUUUACUGGCACGGGGUAGCCAUUGUUAUUCAAGUGUUCCCAUUGUCCUGUCAUUCUCUGCUCUUUUCUUCCAGUGAGAAAGUGAGAAUUCAUAUCCUCCUUCAUCUCAUCCUGCUUUCUCCGGAAUUCUUCGAGUUCAAGUUUCAUUUUAAGGACCUGCAUUCUCUCCUGAUCUAUCUUUGCUUGCUGUUUUUUUAAACAGUUCCUCGCCUUCCUUAGCUCCUCCUUCUCUUUUUCCACUUGUUUUUCUUUGCUUUCCAGCUCUCUCCACCUCUCUUCUAGCAGAAGGUGCACUAAUUUGUUGUUUUCUUUGUCCACUUCAAACAUCUGAAACACUCUGUCUUUUUCUGCAAUGGAAAAAUAUGGGAGGUUAAAAAUUUUGUAUAGGCGCAUCAAACACAGAAAAUAGUCAAAGGUUAUUAUAAUACAUAAGGGGUGGACAAAUCAUAAAUUCAUUAGCUAGUCCACCAGCCAAAGGUUCCAGUGUCUUUGCACACUACUUAAUACAGACUAAGGGAAACAAACGAGUAUAUAAAUGUCACUUGGGGAGACUAAUUUAAACCCAGCAUUUAAAUGUAAAAAAAAUUAAAUAAAAUAAAUACUGAAAUAUAAAUCAGAAAAAUGCUAAAUGGAAAUGACAACAAAAUAUUUGAAAACAAAAACACCUAAAAGAUAAAUUAUUUAAACCAAAUUUUCAAUUUGAAUUGGGGUUGAUACUGAUAAGUCAUGAAUAAAUGCUUAAUCACUAAAUGCUGUUUAAGAACCUGUGUUCAUAAAUGUUUUACAAUUCAUAAUUCAAGUCCAACAAAGGAAACUGGUUACAAGAUUGACUGACCUAGCUCACGGUACAGUAAAGGCUCACAGUGGAAAAGCAAAUUGUAGAACCCGUCGCUCUGUUUCAUCCCAUGCUGCUCCAGAACUCUGAACAUGGCGUGCAUAGAGUGUUGUAGUUAACUGGGAUGUUUGGGUGCUGUUACCCGCACCUGCACCCCCCCGCCAGUAAUCUGGGCUAUUCAACAGCAAUGUUUGGGUGUAUA
This is a long non-coding RNA of Ictalurus punctatus (channel catfish), 1366 nucleotides long. The record is from Ensembl. Lineage: Eukaryota; Metazoa; Chordata; Actinopteri; Siluriformes; Ictaluridae.